AAAAAGAUUACCCAGGAAGAUGGAUCACUCUAGCAGGUUACCAAGCAUGGCAAAACAUUCUGCUAGGUUAUCAAGGAAGGUGGAACAUUCUACCAGGUUACCAAGGAAGGUGGAACAUUCUGCCAGGUUACCAAGGAAGGUGGAACAUUCUACCAGGUUACCAAGGAAGGUGGAACAUUCUGCCAGGUUACCAAGGAAGGUGGAACAUUCUACCUAGAAGCCAUAGAAGGUAUAACUGAAUACCAGAUAGCCUUAAAAGUCACCUUUAUUAAUAAAUCACUACAUAGUAUAGCUUUAUUGACGGUCACAACGGCAUUUAAAGUUCUUACUGUGUUUGUCAUUUAUGUGUUCAGUACGCUUGAGGAAAGCAAUAAUUACAUAUUCUUACAAAGAUGUGAAAAUAUAUUCAAAGCAUGAAUCACAACAUUUCAACAUUGGGUCUUGCUGCAGUGAAACAGCUAGGAUAAUUGUAUAACUGAUAAUCAGUUCUUAUAAUCAAGAUGUUCUAAAUAUUUUCUUCAAUUCAAUCAUUGCAUCUUAAUAUUGCACAAGAACUUCAUCACAAAAUCACAGAGGAUAAGAUUGCUUGGCCAUUAUACAUGGAAACGUUUACACCUUGGCCACAAAAUACCUACAUAUGUUUAUACAAACAAAAUAUAAUCUAACAGAUAGCAGCUUCUAUAGAAGUGACCAUGCACAUACCCGGGUAUUUAAUCAUUCAGAACCAAUACAUUUACUUAACAAUUAACAUUUCAAUUGCUUCUUCUGCUGACAAACCUUUUAUUAUUACUUUAACAGUAUCAUGUUUUUACAAACUAGUGUCAAAGAGUGCUCUAUCAAUACACUGUUUGGAUAUAUUCACUGCAAUAUCCCUUCCCUUCUAUACCAUAGCCACUUAAGACAAUUUCUUAAAGCAUAAGCCUCAUCUUCCAAGUACCAAAUAAAUAGUGUAAAGAGAUAUCAUUACAUGUAUAUACAAAAUUAAGCCCUUGUCAAAAUAAACUGGCAUAUCAAUAAGGCUUCUGAUGCUGGUGGACUAAAACUGUAGUAUCAAAUUUAAAAGUAUUGUCAUGAAAUUUACUGAUGAUGUAUGAAUUACUAUUAGUUCAAACAACCUUUAUAGCCGACUACUGUUUUAGUUUCUUGUGCAGUAGUCAAGUAUUAUUUACCAAUGACAUACCUGGUGUGGCAGGUUUUAAUUGUACAUAGUGAUACAGGUCCCAUUCCAGCUUCACACUUGGGGAAUUUCCCCUUAGUUCAGUCUGUAGAGCGGCAGACCAGUAAGCUGAGGGUGUCGAUCCCUGGUGGAGGCACAAUACUAAUUUUUCCUGGUACACCUGGUAAGUUAUUCUAACAAAUGAUCAUACAUACUCUACGAAUAAGGAAGUUGGUAUCAAAAUCAAGGGUUCAUUAAAACAAACUAUGACCUUUGAAUAUCAACUUGAAAAAUUUCAGUUUUACUUAAAACACUACUAUGCAUAAAAAAUCUUCUUUUAACUAACAUUUUAUUAUACAACAAUAAAACCAAAAGGCAAUAUACUGGUACAUACAGGUUAAAAAUACAAAUAAAAACAAACUUUGUCAAAAAUAAUAAUAACUGACCUUAACUUUGAAACUAUUAUGGCUUCAUUAUGCUCAACAUUUACUGCACCAGUUUGUACAUUGCAUACAUGUAUUUUACAUGUACACAAAGAUUAUUAUAAUGCCACACCUAUCUACUUCUAUGACACAACUUCUAUCUGGGGUACUGGUAGUGAUGUUGCCAGAGAGCUUUUAUGACAAUCUUUAAUCCUUUUUGUUGAUAGUGUACUUAUUAUCUACCCUAUCUAUUAUUUACUAGUUUUGUCAUUAUCUCCUCAGACUUAAUACGAUUUUAGUUGUUGUAAGACCAUUAACCCUACUAAACAAAAUCUAUUUAUAGUCCACUCAUGAUUUAGGACUAUGACAGGGUUAUAUUAUCUAAGUUCUUCUUCAAGGGGCUUCUACAAACCCAGUGAUCUAACCUAUACAGGCUAUUUAACUAUUAAUACUAAACUUGGUUCCCAACACUGUUAUGGAAGGAACUGGAAUUUCAACAAGAUUUGAUUGUGAAUAUAAAUACUUGUGAUCAACAUGUUAUAAAUUCAGAUAGAGUAUUCCCACUUAAUUUGUUUAUAUCUUAACUGUAAAUAUAUAAUUCUAUAGCUAUAUAUAUCUAUCAAUUAGAACCUUGACCUGAGCCUGAAUACAGGUUGCGUGCAAUAUGCAAGUUACAAAAUUCUCAAUGUCAUUAAAAAAAAUAUUCAAUGCUAUAAUCGUGUGGAAUGCAGAAAAAAAAUAUAUCCAUACUUAAAUUUUUCCCCUAUCCUAAUGUGUAUAAUAAUAAACUUUCAAAUUCUAUAAUUAUAUUAUGAUAUGAAUAUGUGAAUUACAACCGUACAAACCUUUUGGUGGUACGAAGUAUAACAAGCUUGUGUACACACCUGGUAGUGACUUGGAAAAUGUUACAACCUAUCUACAUCAACAAAAAUUCAAAAUACAUAUACAGUGCAUCACUUUGGCAUUAAAAUGUGUUGUGUGUACAAUACAGUAGGCUGUCCAGGUCUAACACAUAACAAAACCAUGAUUUAAGUUUGUACAUAAACACUGCUGUAGCACCUUACACAACGUACAUUCCAAACUGAACAAAACUUCACACUCACGUUUACAUGCAGUUAAUGUAAAACUGUAGGUUUAUAAACGGAAACUAGCAAAUAAACGUUCCACAAGGAAUGACUGCUUAUCAAGUUUAACUAUAUUUAUCGUUAGAUUUUAAAAAACGAACUGCUCAUUUAUUGUUGUAAAAAUUACAGAUACAGAGAGAUAUACACAAGAUAAACUAUGGCCACCAACUGUGGAACAUUUUUCAAAUCAUUCACCGUGUUAUUUUACAAUCAUGCCAGAAAGAAAUUAUCUAAGAUGAUGAUUUGAAUAUGUAUAUCAAAAUAUCCUACACCCAUCUUUAUUAUUUUGGUACACAUACUACAAUGGCAAUUGUUUUUUUAACAAAAAAUGUUUAAGCAAUUCAUAUGUCAACUUACAAUCACUGUUACAUUAAAUCAGUGGCAGAUGUUUCUAUCGAUUACAGCAAUCUCCUAACAGGCUCCUUCCGUAUCUAUGGGUUUUAACCAAUCAAAGUGAUGGAAGGUGUUAAUACAAAAGGUAGAAUUUAGGAUCUCAUGUCUGCCACAUCAUGGUGUGUAAUGGUAUAUUUUCUAGAGGAAUGCAAGGUACCAUGAAAGGAAGCUAUAGAUCUUAAUGAAACAAUCCAAUUUACCCAAACAAACUAUUCAAAAUCUGUUUACUAUACAUAUCUCCUUAUCUCACUACUGGUCAGCAGUGUCACCUCCUGCCACCGUGUCUCCCUCCGCCUUCACGGUCACCUUCACGGUCACCUCCAAUUCCUUCUCUACCUUAGAUUUGUCCCCACUAUCAGAAUCCUGAAAAACAAUCAUUGGAAAUGCUUCCAUAUUUAUAUUGCUGCAUGCCAUAUCAAACAUACUGUAUCUCGACUAUCAAUUAGUACACACUGACAAGAAUAGCACUUUUGUAUUUUCUAAGUUCAUGCAAAUCUUUAAAAAGAAAAAAAAAGAAAAACAUCAUUCUGAACCUUCAAAAAUAAUUGUAAGUUCCCGACAACCUACAUGUACUA
Pecten maximus is the source of this 3670-nucleotide long non-coding RNA. RefSeq lists it as uncharacterized. Lineage: Eukaryota; Metazoa; Mollusca; Bivalvia; Pectinida; Pectinidae. The record is from RefSeq and is a predicted model, not a curated record. The transcript is spliced from 2 exons.